Molecule: long non-coding RNA, 819 nt
Organism: Cimex lectularius (bed bug)
Lineage: Eukaryota; Metazoa; Arthropoda; Insecta; Hemiptera; Cimicidae
Exons: 2
Source: RefSeq, a predicted model, not a curated record
AAACUUUUUAAUAAAAAUGAUUUUGUAUGUUCAACCUCAUGGAUCCAGAGAUUUCGGCAAAGACAUUCCAUUGUUUUUGGAAAAAUCAGUGGAGAAUCAAACGCCGUGCCACCAGGAGUUUCAGAAAACUGGCUUGAAACUGUUUGGCCCACGUUGCUGACAAUUGUCCUGCCCACCCAUCAGUUAAAGGUCUUCAAGCCAUUAAAUUAGCUUUUCUUCCUCUCAACACAACGUCGGUUUUACAGCCUAUGGAUCAAGGUGUCAUAAAAUCCUUGAAAGUCCUCUUCAGAAAACAACUUAUCCUACGGAUCAUUGACGACACUGAAAAGAGAAAGAAGCAAAGAUUUCAGUCCUGGAUGCUAUAAUUAUACUCGAAAAGGCUUGGAAUCAGGUUAAGCCUUCAACGAUUAGAAACUGCUUCCGGCAUGCUGGCUUCGUCAGUGAUUUGGUUGACAAUGCUGUUGAUAUUCUUCAAAUCCAAGACUUUCAGGAUGAAACACUUCAAAACUGGGCUCAAAUUUGCCCACUGAAAACAGUUUGCUUCAAGGAUAUGAAGACGCAGACUUGAGUCUUACUACCCAUGGAAUCAUCACAGAUGAAGAAAUUGUUGCAGGGGUCAAAGCAGAAGAAAAUGAUUUAGAAGACAAUGCCAUAACAGAUGAAUCAAGCAAAUUUUCAUGCCCCACUUUGAAGGGAAUGUUCUCAGCUAUAAAUGUGGUAAAUAAAUUUUUAACAUGUAAUGACAAUUUUGCAGAGGAAUCUAUGAAAAUGACAGUGAAAGAACUUGUCACCAUUACAGAAAAUGCUUUUUACAUUCAU